CACGUAGGGUGCGAGCGUUGUCCGGAAUUAUUGGGCGUAAAGAGCUCGUAGGCGGUGUGUCGCGUCGGCCGUAAAAACCUGCAGCUUAACUGUGGGCUUGCGGUCGAUACGGGCAUCACUGGAGUUCGGCAGGGGAGACUGGAAUUCCUGGUGUAGCGGUGAAAUGCGCAGAUAUCAGGAGGAACACCGGUGGCGAAGGCGGGUCUCUGGGCCGAUACUGACGCUGAGGAGCGAAAGCGUGGGGAGCGAACAGG
RNAcentral lists this ribosomal RNA (254 nucleotides) under uncultured bacterium. Its description in RNAcentral is "partial 16S ribosomal RNA". It matches the Rfam family "Bacterial small subunit ribosomal RNA", at positions 524 to 776 of the family's 1533-position model. The record is from RNAcentral.